UAUACUAUUAAUCUUGAAAAUGUUAUGUAAGUAAAAGAACAGAGUCACAAAAACCAACAUGCAUGAUUCCACUUAUAUAAAAUUGUACAGGCCGGGCGCGGUGGCUCAAGCCUGUAAUCCCAGC
This is a long non-coding RNA of Sapajus apella (tufted capuchin), 124 nucleotides long. RefSeq lists it as uncharacterized. The transcript has 3 exons. NCBI's taxonomy places the organism in Eukaryota, Metazoa, Chordata, Mammalia, Primates, Cebidae. The record is from RefSeq and is a predicted model, not a curated record.